CCCUCCUGAGCUUUAUCCAGGUGAAGGUUAAUAGUUCAGAGCUUAAUCGGGUGCUUUCUUUCGGUGCUCUUGGAAAAGCUGUCUUUGAACAGGAGCGGAAGCUUGCCGUCUUCGUGUGGAACAGGCGGAAGCUUUGCACUACAGGUGGAUUUCAUGAUGUAGCCCAGGCUGGCCUAGAACCUCCAGUCCUCCUAUCAGAACCACAGGAGUGCUGGGAUGACAGCCUAGAACGUUUUCCAGCUGAUAAGCAUGCAUUCAGUAAGAGAUGAAGAAUAGAGCACCAGGCCUGGAGCCUCAGACCUAGGGUACAGCAUUCCGGAAGUGAAGACAGAGAAAACUAGAGACCAAAGCCAACCUCAGCUACAUGAUAUUUAUUGAUAACCUGUUUUGAGUGUAUAUUUGAUCCAGCAUCCAUGACAACAUCAGGAAACAAAAAGAUGACAUGGAACAGAAGAGUUACCCAGAGUCAUGGCCCUAGCCUC
This is a long non-coding RNA of Microtus oregoni (creeping vole), 482 nucleotides long. RefSeq lists it as uncharacterized. The record is from RefSeq and is a predicted model, not a curated record. Lineage: Eukaryota; Metazoa; Chordata; Mammalia; Rodentia; Cricetidae. The transcript has 3 exons.